Molecule: ribosomal RNA, 490 nt
Filed under: uncultured bacterium
Lineage: Bacteria
Description: partial 16S ribosomal RNA
Rfam family: Bacterial small subunit ribosomal RNA
Source: RNAcentral
AUUGAACGCUGGCGGCAGGCCUAACACAUGCAAGUCGAACGGUAACAGGAAGCAGCUUGCUGCUUUGCUGACGAGUGGCGGACGGGUGAGUAAUGUCUGGGAAACUGCCUGAUGGAGGGGGAUAACUACUGGAAACGGUAGCUAAUACCGCAUAACGUCGCAAGCCCAAAGAGGGGGACCUUCGGGCCUCUUGCCAUCGGCUGUGCCCAGAUGGGAUUAGCUAGUAGGUAGGGUAACGGCUCACCUAGGCGACGAUCCCUAGCUGGUCUGAGAGGAUGACCAGCCACACUGGAACUGAGACACGGUCCAGACUCCUACGGGAGGCAGCAGUGGGGAAUAUUGCACAAUGGGCGCAAGCCUGAUGCAGCCAUGCCGCGUGUAUGAAGAAGGCCUUCGGGUUGUAAAGUACUUUCAGCGGGGAGGAAGGGAGUAAAGUUAAUACCUUUGCUCAUUGACGUUACCCGCAGAAGAAGCACCGGCUAACUCCGUG